This 729-nucleotide unclassified non-coding RNA is filed under the name Turbinaria sp. 2 RA-2014. RNAcentral's name for it is "sequence contains ITS1, 5.8S rRNA gene and ITS2". The stretch from base 381 to 534 matches the Rfam family "5.8S ribosomal RNA". The record is from RNAcentral. Lineage: Eukaryota; Metazoa; Cnidaria; Anthozoa; Scleractinia; Dendrophylliidae.
GUGAGGCCUUCUGACUGGCGCCGAUACUCUGGCAACAGAGCGCCGGAUGCCGGGAAGUUGGUCAAACUUGAUCAUUUAGAGGAAGUAAAAGUCGUAACAAGGUUUCCGUAGGUGAACCUGCGGAAGGAUCAUUACCGAUAACAAUUCCAAUCUUAAAAAUGGUUUUUUAACCUCUGUGAACCGUACACAAUCUUUAGGGGUCGGUGGCGCUUUUACCGUUAAAUGGUCGUCGGUCCGUGCAUUCGGCUUUCGGCCAGCCCCGCCAUUUUUGUUUGUUGACACACUUCAAUGUAUUGCUCUGAAACAUAUCUGCCCGUUCUUUUUUUUUUUGAUUCCAAAAAACAAAAAGACGGGCGAGUGACAAAAAAACAUGUGGAGACAACUUUUAACGGUGGAUCUCUAGGCUCACGUAUCGAUGAAGAACGCAGCCAGCUGCGAUAAGUAGUGUGAAUUGCAGAAUUCAGUGAAUCAUUGAAUCUUUGAACGCAAAUGGCGCUCUUGGGUUCUCCCAGGAGCAUGUCUGUCUGAGUGUCGGAUAUCAUCUAACGCACUCGUUUGGUGUGCGGAAUUGAGGCGUCACGGCGUUCUCUCUCGCCGUGUCCCUUGAAGGAAAGCGUGUUAGACUCGCAUCGUGCGCGGUUUCAAAAAAACCUGCACUCCAUGCGAAGGCUAAAGACAUUAUUUUGUCCUUCGUCUGGGUGCCGGUCCGCCAGCGCGAGUCGGCCGAAA